This is a long non-coding RNA of Gordionus sp. m RMFG-2023, 1537 nucleotides long. RefSeq lists it as uncharacterized. The record is from RefSeq and is a predicted model, not a curated record. The transcript is spliced from 3 exons. Lineage: Eukaryota; Metazoa; Nematomorpha; Gordioida; Chordodea; Parachordodidae.
GUUUAAUUAAUUUUAAAUAUUAACCAGAUGUGUUAAUAAAUCAAUCUUUUUCAUUAACUAAAAUUCUUUUAAAAAUCAUAAAUAAAUAUUCCAUCGUAAUUAAAUUUGAUUAUAAUGGCAUCGCCAGGGAGACAGCCAGCGGUGCCACUUCCAAUUCUAAAAUCUAUCUUUUCUAAAUACAAAUUUGAGAUUCAACAAAAUCUAAACCACUCGUCAGCAACAAUCUGGAAGAUAAUAAGCAAGGAGUUAUUAGCUAUGAUGAGCCCAAAACUACUCUAUAAUUAUGCCUCACAAAAUCGAAAUAAUUGUCUAGAUAUUUUGGAAAUACAGAAAGAAGAAAAAUUCCCCGAGAUUAUGUCGUCAGACUCAAGUGACGACGGCGAAGAUAAUGUCAAAGUAAAAAAGGAUAUAUUUGAAAUUUCUAUGACAGGGGAAGAAUGGAAUCAAAUAUAUCCGAAUGCGGAUAACCCAAAUCGGUUAAAAAUGGGUUGGACCCAUGUGCUUGAAAAAAUAAUUUCUAGUCAAUUGAAAAUACCCUGUUUAUGGGUAUUUUCUAAUAAUUAUGUAUCUCUAAAUUCAAUAUAUUUAAUAAAAAUUAAGGCUUUUUGUAAACAAUGUUCAGCUGUGUUAUUAAUUAAAAAAUUAAAUACUUUAAAUAAUAUAUAUAUAAAAUUUAUAUGUGAAAUAUAUAAUUAUAAAACAGAAUUGCAUAAUAAUAUUUAUAAAAGACCAUUAAGUGGGAUAAAAAGGGAAGAGGUUGCUAAUGAAUUACAAAAAGAUUUAGCCAUAAACUGGCGCUUGAAAAAAGCAAAUGAAACCAUGGAAUAUGGUGAAUUGGAACUUUAUAUUCCUUGGAUGUCCUACGUAAAUGCAAACAAUCCAUUUCUAAUAAAUAUAACAUUAAAUCGGAUAGCGUAAUCAAUCAGUUAUUAUAUCUAAAAUAUACUCAACCAUAUUUACCCAGUAUAAUCAAUAUAUCCUGUGACAAAUUUUUUAUGCACUACUGGUUACCAGAACAAAUGAUAACUUUUAAUAAAUAUUGCCAAGAUACUAACGUAUCCAUACUACAAAUAGAUGCCACAGGGACCUUAGUAAAAAAAAUUAAGUCGACCUUAUGAUCAAACAUCUGGGCAUAUUUUUCUAUACAUAGGAGUAAUCGAUUUAAAAGUAAAAUCUGGGCAAAUACCUGUAGUUCAGAUGUUAUCAGAAGCCCAUGAUAUUAACCACAUUUCACACUGGCUGAAUGUAUGGGUGCAUAGAGGUGCUAAAAUACCUAAAAUUGUUGUAAUUGAUCAUUCAUUAGCUUUAUUGGGGGCUGUUGCCAGAUCGCUAGCAAAUUUUAUUGAUCUUAAGUCAUAUAUUGAAUAUUCAUUUAAUAUAAUAUUAGGUCAAAAAUUGCUGACCCCUAGGAUAUUUAUUAGAAUAGAUUAUGCUCAUUGUAUCAAACUAAUAAGUAGAUGGCCUAGUUUAUAUAAAAAACCUCGUUUAUUUAGAGAAUUUUAUAUACGUUCCGUUGCAAUGCUAAUAAAAUCCGCUU